GAGACUAACCUGCUGUCAGGCUGGGGAAGCUUGAACAAGGCCUUCAUUCAUGACAGCUCCACUUGGCUUUUUGACGAGUCCCCAUUUAGAUGCAGCACGUCAGAGACUGAAGAGCAGGAUGAAGGCUAAAUUCUCUCAAGAAAGAAGUUGCCUCUUACCAUGUCACAAGCAAUUAGUUUCACCCAAAAAGGAGGAGGACCCCUCUCUGCUCCCCGUGUUAAAAAACAAUACACCGCCUCACAGGCCAGAGCCACAGCCUUCUCCUCUCUGCUGGGUGGAAGAACAACUCUCACACAGUGGAAGUCCUCCAGACCCCCUGCCUUCAGACAAUAGGUUAAAGAUGUGUUUUCUAUGUUACCUUUUGAAAAUCUGAGAUACAGCAGAGGCAACUGUAGGAAGAGCUUUCAUGCUGUCUGGUCUCCUUUCACUGAAAAUGUGGAGGGCCUGUAUCUCACUUGGAAGAUAUUAUUUAAUUCCUUAUAUUACAAACCAAAGAAUAUUACACUACACCAUUACUAGGCUACACAAAGUUAUUUUAACAACCACUGAAUGGAAAAAGGUCAGUGCUGAAUAUAUAUAGCUGUGGAGCAGCAGCAGGCCUUGCUGGGCCGGAAAUGCAAGCAGCAUUGUCCACAUUACCACUCUCUGUACUUGGAUUGACCGAAUGCUCAGACCGUAGGAUAAGAAUUAAUACUUUUUAUUGAUCCCAAUCAAGAUAUUUUCGUUUUGCCUCCCCCAACUUGCUCAGAGUGAGCUGGCCGUGACGGGCAGCCAGUCAUAGUGGCACCCAGGGAACUGGGGGCCUUGCUGAAGGACCCACAGAUGUGCCCAGGCUGGGCUAAAGUGGGCUAUUUUCUGAUCACAGGCUUAGCACACUGAGCUACACACUGCCCCCAAAUUUAUAUUUAUAUGUAAUCUGUGUGUGUAUGUGUUAUCUAGAUUUGCCCUGUAUGUUUCUAACUAAAUCUAAUCCAGGCCGUGAUCCUACACCUACUAUAAUUAUAAGUACCUCACUAUACCUAUAUCUAACACUGCUAUUCAUCACCAGUGUUACAUGUCAGGGCUUCGCUGCAAUAGAUCCCUCAGUGCUGCAGGUUAUUACUGUGACUUUGCACACACACACGUUGCUGCUUCCUCAGCCAGUGUCACAUAUACUUUAUUACACACAGACCUCAGUAAUCUCUGCUACACUCACACCUGCUCACU
Molecule: long non-coding RNA, 1206 nt
Organism: Brienomyrus brachyistius
Lineage: Eukaryota; Metazoa; Chordata; Actinopteri; Osteoglossiformes; Mormyridae
Exons: 3
Source: RefSeq, a predicted model, not a curated record